This 492-nucleotide ribosomal RNA is filed under the name uncultured bacterium. Its description in RNAcentral is "partial 16S ribosomal RNA". It matches the Rfam family "Bacterial small subunit ribosomal RNA", at positions 29 to 507 of the family's 1533-position model. The record is from RNAcentral.
AGUGAACGCUGGCGGUAGGCCUAACACAUGCAAGUCGAACGGCAGCACAGUAAGAGCUUGCUCUUACGGGUGGCGAGUGGCGGACGGGUGAGGAAUACAUCGGAAUCUACUUUUUCGUGGGGGAUAACGUAGGGAAACUUACGCUAAUACCGCAUACGACCUACGGGUGAAAGCAGGGGAUCUUCGGACCUUGCGCGAUUGAAUGAGCCGAUGUCGGAUUAGCUAGUUGGCGGGGUAAAGGCCCACCAAGGCGACGAUCCGUAGCUGGUCUGAGAGGAUGAUCAGCCACACUGGAACUGAGACACGGUCCAGACUCCUACGGGAGGCAGCAUUGGGGAAUAUUGGACAAUGGGCGCAAGCCUGAUCCGGCCAUACCGCGUGGGUGAAGAAGGCCUUCGGGUUGUAAAGCCCUUUUGUUGGGAAAGAAAAGCAGCAGGUUAAUACCCCGCUGUUCUGACGGUACCCAAAGAAUAAGCACCGGCUAACUUCGUG